This 298-nucleotide unclassified non-coding RNA is filed under the name fungal sp. Its description in RNAcentral is "partial internal transcribed spacer region". The stretch from base 1 to 46 matches the Rfam family "Eukaryotic small subunit ribosomal RNA", at positions 1786 to 1831 of the family's 1831-position model. Lineage: Eukaryota; Fungi. The record is from RNAcentral.
AAGUCGUAACAAGGUUUCCGUAGGUGAACCUGCGGAAGGAUCAUUGCCGAUCGGACGCCACGCAAGGAAGCUCUCACGGGCCAACUUGCGCGGUGUCUUUUUCGACCAACCCAUGUGAACUCGUUUUAUGUGUUUAACAAAACUCACACCCCUCACCGGGAGUGCGUUUUUGUCCAAACAUUUUACAACAAACCACAUUUCAUUAAACUCUUGACUGAGACAAUACAGGUCACGCCUAAAAACGUUGAUCUCAAAAACCUAACCAUUACAACUUUUAACAACGGAUAUCUUGGCUCGC